Molecule: ribosomal RNA, 485 nt
Filed under: uncultured bacterium
Lineage: Bacteria
Description: bacterial SSU rRNA
Rfam family: Bacterial small subunit ribosomal RNA
Source: RNAcentral
GAUGAACGCUGGCGGCAUGCCUAAUACAUGCAAGUCGAACGAGAGGAAGGAAAGCUUGCUUUUCUGAAUCUAGUGGCGAACGGGUGAGUAACACGUAGGUAACCUGCCCAUGUGCCCGGGAUAACUUCUGGAAACGGAUGCUAAAACCGGAUAGGUAGCAGACAAGCAUUUGACUGCUAUUAAAGUGGCUAAGGCCAUGAACAUGGAUGGACCUGCGGUGCAUUAGCUAGUUGGUGAGGUAACGGCCCACCAAGGCGACGAUGCAUAGCCGGCCUGAGAGGGCGGACGGCCACAUUGGGACUGAGACACGGCCCAAACUCCUACGGGAGGCAGCAGUAGGGAAUUUUCGUCAAUGGGGGGAACCCUGAACGAGCAAUGCCGCGUGAGUGAAGAAGGUCUUCGGAUCGUAAAGCUCUGUUGUAAGAGAAAAACGACAUUCAUAGGGAAUGAUGAGUGAGUGAUGGUAUCUUACCAGAAAGUCACGG